This 292-nucleotide ribosomal RNA is filed under the name uncultured bacterium. Its description in RNAcentral is "partial 16S ribosomal RNA". It matches the Rfam family "Bacterial small subunit ribosomal RNA", at positions 505 to 796 of the family's 1533-position model. The record is from RNAcentral.
GUGUCAGCAGCCGCGGUAAUACGAAGGUCCCAAGCGUUAUCCGGAUUUAUUGGGUUUAAAGGGUGCGUAGGCGGGUUAUUAAGUCAGUGGUGAAAGCCUUCAGCUUAACUGAAGAAUUGCCAUUGAUACUGAUGAUCUUGAGUAUGAUUGAGGUGGGCGGAAUGUGUCAUGUAGCGGUGAAAUGCUUAGAUAUGACACAGAACACCGAUUGCGAAGGCAGCUCACUAAGCCAUAACUGACGCUGAUGCACGAAAGCGUGGGGAGCAAACAGGAUUAGAAACCCCCGUAGUCC